GACAGAGGUGCCGAGCGUUAUGCGGAAUCACUGGGCUUAAAGCGUGUGUAGGCGGGUCGUUAAGUGCCUUGUGAAAUCCCACGGCUCAACCGUGGAACUGCUGGGCAUACUGGCGAUCUUGAGCCAGCUAGGGGCAACCGGAACAAACGGUGGAGCGGUGAAAUGCGUAGAUAUCGUUUGGAACGCCAAUGGUGAAAACAGGUUGCUGGGGCUGUGCUGACGCUGAGACACGAAAGCCAGGGGAGCGAACGGG
This 253-nucleotide ribosomal RNA is filed under the name uncultured bacterium. RNAcentral's name for it is "partial 16S ribosomal RNA". It matches the Rfam family "Bacterial small subunit ribosomal RNA", at positions 524 to 776 of the family's 1533-position model. The record is from RNAcentral.